CCGCCGGCGACCGGCGCACGGGUGAGUAACACGUAUGCAACCUGGCCGUGACAGAUGGAUAACCGGGAGAAAUCCCGCCUAAUACAACAUAAUGCCGGGAGGGGACAUCCCCUGCCGGCCAAAGGGGGCGACCCCGGUCACGGAUGGGCAUGCGGCGCAUUAGGUAGUUGGUGGGGCAACGGCCCACCAAGCCGACGAUGCGUAGGGGUUCUGGGAGGAAGGUCCCCCACACUGGUACUGAGACACGGACCAGACUCCUACGGGAGGCAGCAG
Molecule: ribosomal RNA, 273 nt
Filed under: uncultured bacterium
Lineage: Bacteria
Description: partial 16S ribosomal RNA
Rfam family: Bacterial small subunit ribosomal RNA
Source: RNAcentral